UACUGUGAAAGUACUUUUAUUCGUGGGGUACCAAUUUUCGUGGUUUUUGUGGAAGACUUUAUCCACGAAUUUAAGUGUCCAACGAAAUAAAACAACCAUUGUCCAAAUCAAGACAUGGAAAGAUCCCCAUGUAGGUUGGACUUAUGAUUUAGUCUUGAGAAGAUAUUGAAUAACGCCAAAUCUGAGAAUAUUUUAAUAGCAGUCACAGAACUACAACUGCAUGCAGGAUUAUACCAAUUUAAUAUCUAAUAACCUAAACUGUACAAGUUUUGAUCUUUUAAUUCUCAUAAAAAAAUAUUUUUUAUCGAUGAAAGUCAGAAUUCCGGUAUUGAUAUGCUAGUAUGAUAAAUUGUUCAUUUUAUAUCCUCAUACUUCUGGUACAUAUGGGAAAUAAUAAUUUCAUGCUUAGCUUGAUUUUGAUAAGAAUUAUUUGACAAUUCAAGAUAUAUUUAUAGCAUUUGUUUAUGUUACUGAUUUCUUUAGGUGACAUGUUUAUGGCCUAAGUAACACCUUUGAUGGUCUUUAAUCUGUUGAUAACUUUAUCUUUGGUUAAUAAGUGUUGUCACUACGAUUUACACAGGUCAAUGUUUACUUUGCAAUGUCCUUCAAUCCAGACUAUUUGUAACCUUGGUUUCUGAAGGCUUUAUUUUUUCAAUUAUUUUCUUUUUUAAAAAGCUAAAAUCCACGAAUUUAAAAACCCACGAACAUGUAAAUAUUGCUCAAACCACGAAAAUUGAUACCCACGAAUUAAAGUACUUUCACAGUAUGUAGUUUU
Molecule: long non-coding RNA, 775 nt
Filed under: Mytilus galloprovincialis (Mediterranean mussel)
Lineage: Eukaryota; Metazoa; Mollusca; Bivalvia; Mytilida; Mytilidae
Source: RNAcentral